UGGUCGAGUCGGCCUGCGCGGAAGAUGUAACGGGGCUAAACCAUGCACCGAAGCUGCGGCAGCGACGCUGAUGCGUUGUUGGGUAGGGGAGCGUUCUGUAAGCCUGCGAAGGUGUGCUGUGAGGCAUGCUGGAGGUAUCAGAAGUGCGAAUGCUGACAUAAGUAACGAUAAAGCGGGUGAAAAGCCCGCUCGCCGGAAGACCAAGGGUUCCUGUCCAACGUUAAUCGGGGCAGGGUGAGUCGACCCCUAAGGCGAGGCCGAAAGGCGUAGUCGAUGGGAAACAGGUUAAUAUUCCUGUACUUGGUGUUACUGCGAAGGGGGGACGGAGAAGGCUAUGUUGGCCGGGCGACGGUUGUCCCGGUUUAAGCGUGUAGGCUGGUUUUCCAGGCAAAUCCGGAAAAUCAAGGCUGAGGCGUGAUGACGAGGCACUACGGUGCUGAAGCAACAAAUGCCCUGCUUCCAGGAAAAGCCUCUAAGCAUCAGGUAACAUCAAAUCGUACCCCAAACCGACACAGGUGGUCAGGUAGAGAAUACCAAGGCGCUUGAGAGAACUCGGGUGAAGGAACUAGGCAAAAUGGUGCCGUAACUUCGGGAGAAGGCACGCUGAUAUGUAGGUGAAGUCCCUCGCGGAUGGAGCUGAAAUCAGUCGAAGAUACCAGCUGGCUGCAACUGUUUAUUAAAAACACAGCACUGUGCAAACACGAAAGUGGACGUAUACGGUGUGACGCCUGCCCGGUGCCGGAAGGUUAAUUGAUGGGGUCAGCGCAAGCGAAGCUCUUGAUCGAAGCCCCGGUAAACGGCGGCCGUAACUAUAACGGUCCUAAGGUAGCGAAAUUCCUUGUCGGGUAAGUUCCGACCUGCACGAAUGGCGUAAUGAUGGCCAGGCUGUCUCCACCCGAGACUCAGUGAAAUUGAACUCGCUGUGAAGAUGCAGUGUACCCGCGGCAAGACGGAAAGACCCCGUGAACCUUUACUAUAGCUUGACACUGAACAUUGAGCCUUGAUGUGUAGGAUAGGUGGGAGGCUUAGAAGUGUGGACGCCAGUCUGCAUGGAGCCGACCUUGAAAUACCACCCUUUAAUGUUUGAUGUUCUAACGUUGACCCGUAAUCCGGGUUGCGGACAGUGUCUGGUGGGUAGUUUGACUGGGGCGGUCUCCUCCUAAAGAGUAACGGAGGAGCACGAAGGUUGGCUAAUCCUGGUCGGACAUCAGGAGGUUAGUGCAAUGGCAUAAGCCAGCUUGACUGCGAGCGUGACGGCGCGAGCAGGUGCGAAAGCAGGUCAUAGUGAUCCGGUGGUUCUGAAUGGAAGGGCCAUCGCUCAACGGAUAAAAGGUACUCCGGGGAUAACAGGCUGAUACCGCCCAAGAGUUCAUAUCGACGGCGGUGUUUGGCACCUCGAUGUCGGCUCAUCACAUCCUGGGGCUGAAGUAGGUCCCAAGGGUAUGGCUGUUCGCCAUUUAAAGUGGUACGCGAGCUGGGUUUAGAACGUCGUGAGACAGUUCGGUCCCUAUCUGCCGUGGGCGCUGGAGAACUGAGGGGGGCUGCUCCUAGUACGAGAGGACCGGAGUGGACGCAUCACUGGUGUUCGGGUUGUCAUGCCAAUGGCACUGCCCGGUAGCUAAAUGCGGAAGAGAUAAGUGCUGAAAGCAUCUAAGCACGAAACUUGCCCCGAGAUGAGUUCUCCCUGACCCUUUAAGGGUCCUGAAGGAACGUUGAAGACGACGACGUUGAUAGGCCGGGUGUGUAAGCGCAGCGAUGCGUUGAGCUAACCGGUACUAAUGAACCGUGAGGCUUAACCUU
RNAcentral lists this ribosomal RNA (1800 nucleotides) under Escherichia coli 2-052-05_S3_C2. Its description in RNAcentral is "bacterial LSU rRNA". It matches the Rfam family "Bacterial large subunit ribosomal RNA", at positions 1146 to 2925 of the family's 2925-position model. Lineage: Bacteria; Pseudomonadati; Pseudomonadota; Gammaproteobacteria; Enterobacterales; Enterobacteriaceae. The record is from RNAcentral.